UGAACGCUAGCGGCAGGCUUAACACAUGCAAGUCGAGGGGUAUAGGGAGCUUGCUUCCUAGAGACCGGCGCACGGGUGCGUAACGCGUAUGCAAUCUACCUUUGCAGAGGGAUAGCCCAGAGAAAUUUGGAUUAAUACCUCAUAGUAUAGUACUUUGGCAUCAAGGAACUAUUAAAGUCACAACGGCAAAAGAUGAGCAUGCGUCCCAUUAGCUAGUUGGUAAGGUAACGGCUUACCAAGGCUACGAUGGGUAGGGGUCCUGAGAGGGAGAUCCCCCACACUGGUACUGAGACACGGACCAGACUCCUACGGGAGGCAGCAGUGAGGAAUAUUGGACAAUGGGCGCAAGCCUGAUCCAGCCAUGCCGCGUGCAGGAUGACGGUCCUAUGGAUUGUAAACUGCUUUGUACAGGAGGAAACACUCCCUCGUGAGGGAGCUUGACGGUACUGUAAGAAUAAGGAUCGGCUAACUCCGUG
Molecule: ribosomal RNA, 476 nt
Filed under: uncultured bacterium
Lineage: Bacteria
Description: bacterial SSU rRNA
Rfam family: Bacterial small subunit ribosomal RNA
Source: RNAcentral